ACUCCUACGGGAGGCAGCAGUGAGGAAUUUUGCGCAAUGGGCGAAAGCCUGACGCAGCGACGCCGCGUGGAGGAUGAAGUCUUUCGAGAUGUAAACUUCUGUCAGUAGGGAUGAUAAUGACAGUACCUACAGAGGAAGCACCGGCUAACUCCGUGCCAGCAGCCGCGGUAAUACGGAGGGUGCAAGCGUUGUUCGGAAUUACUGGGCGUAAAGCGUACGUAGGCGGCGAGUUAAGUCGAAUGUUAAAGCCCGGGGCUCAACCCCGUGGAUGCCUUCGAUACUGGCUUGCUAGAGGGUGAUAGAGGAAAGUGGAAUUCCGAGUGUAGCGGUGAAAUGCGUAGAUAUUCGGAGGAACAUCAGUAGCGAAGGCGACUUUCUGGGUCACACCUGACGCUGAGGUACGAAAGCGUGGGUAGCAAACAGGAUUAGAUACCCUGGUAGCGACUGA
This 448-nucleotide ribosomal RNA is filed under the name uncultured bacterium. RNAcentral's name for it is "bacterial SSU rRNA". It matches the Rfam family "Bacterial small subunit ribosomal RNA", at positions 335 to 798 of the family's 1533-position model. The record is from RNAcentral.